UUUUGUUUUUGUUUUUUUGUUUUCAAUUUGUUAAAUUAGUUUGCCGAAGAAGUUUCAUUUCUGACAUGUGUACUUUGUACGCACGCAAUUUUUUUUGUUUUUUUUUUUUUUUAUAUAAAUGAUGAUAUAUUCGUUUAAAUUUAAGUUAAGUUUAAUUUAAGUUUAGUUAAUCAAUGCUAAUAAUUUUAAAUUAAUAAAAAAUAAAAAAGGGUUAUGUCACAUGAUGAUCAAUAUUUUUUAAUUACUAAAGAAUGAAAUUAUUCUUAGAUGGAAAGAACAAUAGAAAUAAAACUUUAAAAAAAAAUUCAUUACAACUAUUUGUCUCGAAAAGGGUAUACUUAAAUAUUAAAUUUUUAAUACAUCGAAUAAUUUAAUGUAUCGCAUGUUCUUGGAAGAAAAAUUAUACAAGAUUAAGUUUAUUCAUAAUAUUAACAUUACACAUCGCGUCGUUGUUCAAAUUUUAUUUUCAAGAUUAAUAUUAUAUAAAGUCAAGUUUUAGUUUAAAUAUGUAAAUAUGUAAACUAACAUAAUAAUAUCGAACUAAUGUCAAAUUUUGACUGUAUAUCUGUAAUUAGUGCCUUAUUGUUGAAAUUUGAUGUUUUGAAAAGUUUCAAGAAUAAUUUGUGUGAGUAUGCUUUAAAAUACAAGUUAUUAUUAUGGUCAGAAUUAAUCACGGUCAAUCAAACCCUAUUGUAAUAGGUCCUUAGUCUACAAUUGUACAACUACAAUUCUACGAGUAUAUAGGUUAUAAUAUGUCAAAAUCAAAAAAUAUUGAUUGAAAUCGUUUAUAGUUAUAAACUUCUUUUUUUUUCUUUUUUUUUUAGUAUGACAAAUUUGCAGAAUUCGGGCUCCUUUAAAUCUAGAGCUAAUAAGACUUAUAAGCUCUGGCCAGUGUGUAUUAUAUUUUAGGGCAUACUCCAAAUGUGUUUCUGUAAAUGAGCUUCAUUAUAACCUCGGUAAGAGAAUGAAUGGCACUGUUAAAAUGACUCGUAGCGAUGAUUAAGGUCUAUUUAGAAGAAGAGUUUUAGAGGGGUCUAUUAUCAUUAGUAUAGAAGUAUAAACUACUUUUGAGGGUACUAUUGAAAAACUCAUGCUACGAUACCCAAUGAGUGUAAUAUGUGAAUUGUGGAAAACAACUGUCAAAUAUCUAUAAUUCUACAAGUUUGUUAUUAGAUGAAAAACGAUAUAGUAAUCUAGGAAAUGUUUCGAAUCGAUAAAAUGAUGUUAGUCUUACCAGAGGUUAUAAGCUCGAUGUAUAUUAUAUUUUGAAUGGAUACAAAUAUAUUUUUGUUAUUAAAGUUUAUUUUAAUUACCAUGUUAAAAUGUUAUUUUAUUUGAGUGAAGCAAUUUAUCCAAAUAACUUAUUUACUCGUAAGAAAUAAUGACGACAAUUUACUGUAAAUAGUUGUAAACUAAUAAGUUAUACUUUCCAGGAACGUUUAUAUGGACCAAAAGAGGUUCAAAGCAUCCACUACUUCUACUCUCUGGGUUCACCUAUAGCGUUCAAAAUAAGAAUUUUGAUGGUAGCGUCCAGUGGUAUUGCUCUAGACGACUCAAAGGCUGCAGAGCCUCAGCUGUCACCUCUGGCACAACGGUAAAGUCAUAUAAACUACAUGAUCACCCGCCGCCGAACUUAGUGAACGUAACAGCCGUAUCAGCA
Molecule: unclassified non-coding RNA, 1660 nt
Filed under: Melitaea cinxia (Glanville fritillary)
Lineage: Eukaryota; Metazoa; Arthropoda; Insecta; Lepidoptera; Nymphalidae
Description: misc RNA ENSMCXG00005020028.1
Source: RNAcentral